This 244-nucleotide ribosomal RNA is filed under the name uncultured bacterium. RNAcentral's name for it is "partial 16S ribosomal RNA". It matches the Rfam family "Bacterial small subunit ribosomal RNA", at positions 118 to 348 of the family's 1533-position model. The record is from RNAcentral.
UGGGUAACCUGCCUCAAAGAGGGGAAUAGCCUCCCGAAAGGGAGAUUAAUACCGCAUAAUAUGUUUAAGUCGCAUGACUUUAACAUCAAAGGAUUUUUCUUUUAGAAAUUCCACUUUGAGAUGGACCCGCGGCGCAUUAGCUAGUUGGUGAGGUAACGGCUCACCAAGGCAACGAUGCGUAGCCGACCUGAGAGGGUGAUCGGUCACAUUGGAACUGAGACACGGUCCAGACUCCGUAGGGAGG